Molecule: ribosomal RNA, 327 nt
Filed under: uncultured eukaryote
Lineage: Eukaryota
Description: partial 18S ribosomal RNA
Rfam family: Eukaryotic small subunit ribosomal RNA
Source: RNAcentral
CCCUUAGAAGUUCUGGGCUACACGCGUGUUACACUGAUAUGUUCAACAAGUUAAAAUAUUCCUUGCCCGACGGGGCUGGGUAAUCUUUUAAAAGCAUGUCGUGAUGGGGAUAGAGCAUUGUAAUUAUUGCUCUUGAACGAGGAAUUCCUAGUAAGUGCAAGUCAUUAACUUGCGCUGAUUACGUCCCUGCCCUUGUACACACCGCCCGUCGCUCCUACCGAUGAAUGGUCCGGUGAGGACUCAGGAUGCCUUUUGUCUCGGUUCGCCGUACAAAAGUGUCAGAAUUUGUUCAAACCUUAUCAUUUAAAGGAAGGAGAAGUCGUAACA